GGUUCCAAAGAGCAUAUUUUACGCAAACGCAAUCCUUGUUCGUCUUCUUCCUUCUAUAACAGUCUCUCUCUCUCUGUUCUUUCCGCUUUACCGUUCUCUCUGCUUUUGCUAAAAGGUGGCAUUGAUAAUAGAAUGUAAAACUGGAUCAGUUAAGCACUACAUGGAUGUGUGAUCAUUGGUUUGAUUUGCAUUGUAGAUCCAGCUUGUGGCAAACUGUGUUCUGGAAGGGUCUGCUGCUUGUGAAAGGCUGUUCUUGAAGGGUCUUCGAGCAAUAGAGGACCCUUCAGGCUGGAUUCUUGGUUUAUUCGAAGCGGUUAGUCACAGUAAGAUAAGUUUUGUUGUAUAAGCGGUGGGUAAAGCGGUUGUCGGUUUGCUGAACAUGCCAGCUGUACAGAAGCUUUAUAACGCUUGUAAAGCAUCACUUUCACCCAACGGACCGGUUUCAGAAGACGCUCUCGAGAAAGUUCGGUCCCUAUUGGAUAAAAUCAAGCCUUCUGAUGUGGGUCUUGAGCAAGAAGCACAACUUGUACGGAGUUGGAAUAGUACUCUGCACGAGCGCAAUGGGGAACUACAGCCACCGCCACCAAUCAAAUACCUGCACUUACAUGAAUGUGACAGCUUCUCUAUGGGGAUAUUUUGCAUGCCGCCUUCCUCUAUCAUACCUCUACACAAUCACCCUGGGAUGACAGUCUUAAGUAAGCUGGUAUAUGGUUCCUUUCACGUGAAAGCCUAUGAUUGGAUCAAUAUUCCAGGUCCUUUGGUUCCAUUGGAAGGUGCAAGACCGGCAAAGCUCGUUAAAGACUGUGACAUGACUGCUCCGUGUGGGACAACUGCUCUGUAUCCUACUUCUGGAGGCAACAUCCAUUGUUUCAAAGCUAUAACUCCUUGUGCUAUUUUUGACAUCCUUUCUCCGCCUUACUCUUCUGAGGAUGGACGGCAUUGCACUUAUUUCCGGAGGUCUCCAGUAGCGGAUCUGCCAGGUGAACUCGAGGUGGAUGGAGUGACAUUCUCCGACGUGACUUGGUUGGGAGAGUUUCAACUUCCCGAUGACUUUAUGAUCCGUAGAGGGCAAUACAAAGGCCGUGUCAUCAAAACAUGACAUGUUUCAUUUUUUUGGUUCUGUCCAACUUUUAUGAUGCAUUCAGUGAAGGCAAAGUACGGCAAAGCCAUGAAUCAGAUGGAGAUUUUGGUAAAGGAGGGGGAGCAGGAAGCUUUGAAUGUGUUACGCGUGAGUUUUCUAACUUUUCUUUUCGUACUGUUUGCUUUCUGGUACUUCGUUUAACAUCAUCUUUGCGUUUCACUGAGGUGACUGCAUCCUGGUAAUGAGCUUGUUCAGAAGCUGUCAGUGCCAUCAUUUCCCCUCCAUUGUUCAAUUUUUCCGCUGAUAUUGGUGGAAAAUAACUAAGUGAAGAAUCGACAGAGGGCUUUUGUUCUGCCAUCUUUUUAAGAACAUCUUGAUUCUCAUCCUAGUUUUCUCUGCCAGAGGAGCUGCUAAAUCCGCUUCACCUGCAAUGUUCUGAUAAUCAAAUAAUUCUUGAAAGCGAUCAUUUGUGUCCUCAUGCGCAUGAACUGUGACAAAUCCGGCCACUGACUCAGAUUUGGACUGCUGCAAUAAGUUAAAACCAUAAGUGAUAAAGAAAAUGUGGGAGAGGAAGGUAGCACAACAUAAGCGGCUGCAGUAGAGCAACAGAAGUGACGGGAAGAAAGACAGUGGAAAUUGAUACCUCAUUCUCUGAUCCACUGCAAGAAGCGGUAGAUGAUGAUCCAGUCUGUGUUCUACUGGCAGGAGACAUUGGUACUCUGGUUCUAGCACUCAUUCCAGGUAUAGGAUUCAUCAGACAAAA
Solanum lycopersicum (tomato) is the source of this 1844-nucleotide RNA transcript. It is a transcript of the gene named plant cysteine oxidase 4-like, with no coding region annotated. NCBI's taxonomy places the organism in Eukaryota, Viridiplantae, Streptophyta, Magnoliopsida, Solanales, Solanaceae. The record is from RefSeq and is a predicted model, not a curated record.